GUGACCUCAAAUCAGGUAGGACUACCCGCUGAACUUAAGCAUAUCAAUAAGCGGAGGAAAAGAAACUAACAAGGAUUCCCCUAGUAACUGCGAGUGAAGCGGGAAAAGCUCAAAUUAAAAUCUGUCAGUCUUUGAUGG
This 138-nucleotide ribosomal RNA is filed under the name uncultured Cortinarius. RNAcentral describes it as "partial 28S ribosomal RNA". It matches the Rfam family "Eukaryotic large subunit ribosomal RNA", at positions 1 to 138 of the family's 3401-position model. Lineage: Eukaryota; Fungi; Basidiomycota; Agaricomycetes; Agaricales; Cortinariaceae. The record is from RNAcentral.